RNAcentral lists this ribosomal RNA (775 nucleotides) under uncultured Neocallimastigales. Its description in RNAcentral is "partial large subunit ribosomal RNA". It matches the Rfam family "Eukaryotic large subunit ribosomal RNA", at positions 26 to 644 of the family's 3401-position model. Lineage: Eukaryota; Fungi; Neocallimastigomycota; Neocallimastigomycetes; Neocallimastigales. The record is from RNAcentral.
CGUCUAUAUACGUAUAGCAUAUCAAUAAGCGGAGGAAAAGAAACUAACAAGGAUUCCCUUAGUAACGGCGAGUGAAGCGGGAAGAGCUCAAAUUUGAAAUCUUCAAGGUUCUACCUUGACGAAUUGUAGUUUAUAGAAGUGUUUUCUGUUAGUGGAGUGGCAAAAGUUCUUUGGAAUAGGACAUCAUAGAGAGUGAGAAUCCCGUAUUUGGUCAUUCCUCCUAGCGUUGUGAUACACUUUCAACGAGUCGGAUUGUUUGGGAAUGCAGUCCAAAAUGGGUGGUAAAUUUCAUCUAAAGCUAAAUAUUGGCGAGAGACCGAUAGCGAACAAGUACCGUGAGGGAAAGAUGAAAAGAACUUUGAAAAGAGAGUUAAACAGUACGUGAAAUUGUCAAAAGGGAAGCGUUUGACACCAGUGUUGUUUUUCCGAAAAUCAAUUACGAAUGUUUUAUUUUUGAGGAGUUAUGACUUCAUCGGCUUGCUCCUUUCUUUACUGAAACUUUCUUAAUGCACUUUUCGGUUAACAAGUCAACAUCAAUUUCUUUUGUUGUAAAAGGGUAUUAGGAAGGUGGCUUUCUUUUCGGAGAAAGUGUUUAUAGCCUUGUGCCUCUGCAAUCGGAGAGAUUGAGGUCUGCAGCGUAGAUCCUUCGGGGUUAGAUACAUUUGUGCUAAGUUAUAGCCUUUCAUAGACAACUUGUUGACUAUAAUCAUCAUGUAGCUUACUCGCUUAUGGCUAUUUUACCUACGCUUAGGAUGUUGACUGAUAUGUAGUCGUA